RNAcentral lists this ribosomal RNA (302 nucleotides) under uncultured bacterium. RNAcentral describes it as "partial 16S ribosomal RNA". It matches the Rfam family "Bacterial small subunit ribosomal RNA", at positions 508 to 809 of the family's 1533-position model. The record is from RNAcentral.
GCAGUAGCCGCGGUAAUACAGAGGGUGCGAGCGUUAAUCGGAUUUACUGGGCGUAAAGCGUGCGUAGGCGGCUUUUUAAGUCGGAUGUGAAAUCCCUGAGCUUAACUUAGGAAUUGCAUUCGAUACUGGGAAGCUAGAGUAUGGGAGAGGAUGGUAGAAUUCCAGGUGUAGCGGUGAAAUGCGUAGAGAUCUGGAGGAAUACCGAUGGCGAAGGCAGCCAUCUGGCCUAAUACUGACGCUGAGGUACGAAAGCAUGGGGAGCAAACAGGAUUAGAUCCCCGUAGUCCCUGUCUCUUAUACAC